AUUGAACGCUAGCGGGAGGCUUUACACAUGCAAGUCGAACGAGUGGCGGACGGGUGAGUAAUAUAUGGGAACGUGACCAGUGGAGGGGGAUAACUACUGGAAACGGUGGCUAAUACCGCAUACGAUCGGAGGGGCCCAUGUCGGAUUAGCUAGUGGGGGGGGUAAAGGAGCACAAAGGCAACGAUCCUGAGCGGGUUUGAGAGGAGGACCAGCAACACUGGGAAGGAGACACGGUCCAGACUCCUACGGGGGGCAGAAGUGGGGAAGAUUGCACAAUGGGCGAAAGCCUGAGACAGCCAUGCCGCGUGUAUGAAGAAGGCCGUCGGGUUGUAAAGUACUUUUGGCGGAGAGGCGUUAUUCGCAGAAGAAGCACCGGCUAACUACGUGCCAGCAGCCGCGGUAAUAC
Molecule: ribosomal RNA, 406 nt
Filed under: uncultured bacterium
Lineage: Bacteria
Description: partial 16S ribosomal RNA
Rfam family: Bacterial small subunit ribosomal RNA
Source: RNAcentral